This is a non-coding RNA of Oryctolagus cuniculus (rabbit), 19384 nucleotides long. Lineage: Eukaryota; Metazoa; Chordata; Mammalia; Lagomorpha; Leporidae. The record is from RefSeq and is a predicted model, not a curated record.
AAAUUAUAACUUACUAUGGGACCACUCACGUUUUUCAUUUCUGUUUGUGAAUUUCGGUACAUCUACAUUUCAAAGAAUUUUCACAGUUCAUUAUCUUAUGAAAUUUUUGGUCACAGGGUUCAUACCAUUCCCUUGUUAUCUUGUCCAUGGAGACCGUCCUGGUGUCACCAUUCCAUUAACAAUAUUAGUAAUUUGCACCUUGUUUUCUGGUUGGUCCUGACAAGAAGUUCACGAAUUUUGUUGCUGUUUUCAAAGACCCCAAUUUUAGUUUUGUCAGUUUUCACUGCAGUUGUAUAUUUUUCCGUUCCACGGACUUGUACAUCUGAGUUUCACUAUUUAUUUUCUUCACCUUGCUUGAAGUGUUUAAAUUGCUUUUCUUCCUCUGAUUUCCUAGGGUGAAAGCGUAGCUCCUUCAUCUUGGUUCUUCUUUCCAAAAAUAUGUAGUCAUUAAUAUAAGUUGGCAGGAUACAUGUUCACUUGAGUUUGAAAUAUUUUUCAUUUGAGAUUUAUAAACGUGUUAUUUUGAGGUGUGUUGAUUGUUCUCCAAGUGUUUGGGACUUUCAGCUGCUUCUUACUGACUUCCCAUGUAGUUCCUGUGUGAUCUGAGAUCUUACGCCGUGUGCUGCCUCUUCUUAUGACUGAGGUCUGCUCUACACCCACGAACGUGGUGAGUGGACGUGCUGCGUGGGUCUGAGAAGAGUGUGUAUUCUGUUGUCGUGGAUGGAGCACCCUCUAAGGAUCCGUUUGACACCUGGUCGAUGUAGGCGCUUUUCUGUUCGGCUCCAUCCUUACUGAUUGUCUAAAUGCUGACCUGUUAACGAAAGAGAUGUCUGGACAUCUGUGGGUGUCAUAGUGGAUUUGUUUAUUUUUGUUUGUAGUUUUAACAAUUGUUGCUUAUGUAUUGUGGCAUGAGGUUUAUUUUUGGACUCACUAUCUUAAUCCAUUGAAAUGUGACCUUCUAUUCUUUCAUGAAUCCCAAACGGUCUUGGUUGUUGUAGGUUUAUUGUAAGUCUUAAAUACAGUAUUGGCAUUUCACCCAGUUCCUGUUUUUCAUGAUGGACCUGAUAGUCGAUUGUCGUGGGUUUUCCUAAUUACAGAAAGUUUUGUGGAUUUCUCAAAAACCUCGUGCUGGGAUUUUUAUUUAGAUUGUGUAAACCUAUAGGACCAUUUUAGGAGAAAUGGUAUGUUAAUAAUAUUCAGUCUUCUAAUCUUACACACAGCGUAUUUAUGCAGAUCUUCUUUCAUUUCCUUCAUCAGCAUUUUAGUGUUCAGCCAACAUAUUUUGUAUUUUAUUCAUGGAGUUUAUGAGUUUUCAUUUUAUUUUGCUAUUUUAAUUUUUAUAUCAGUGUCUGCUCAUUCAUGGAUGGUAGUAUACAAUGGAUUUUCUAAUAAGUGAUUUUUCUUAGAUGAUUUUAUUUAUUUGAAAGGCAGAGGUAGAGGCAGAGGGAAAGAGAGACAGAGACAGGUCUUCCAUCUGCUGAUUCACUCCCCAGAUGGCUGAGAUGGCCACUGCUGAGCCCAUCAGAAACCAGGAACCAGGAACUUCUUCCAGGUCUGGCAGGCAGGUGCAGGGGCCCAGGGACAUGGGCCAUCUUCCACUGCUUUCCCAGGCCACAGAGAACAGGAUUGGAAGUGGAGCAGCCAGGACUCGAGCUGGUGCCCAUGUUGUGUGCCAACACUGCAGGUGGCGCCUUUACCCGAUGUGCCCCCGCGCUGGCCCUCCUGUUGAUAUUUUUACAUUGCCCUUCUUCCCCUGAUGGUCUUGCUAAAAUAAUUUAUUAUUCCUGGUAGCUUUUGAGAAAAUGGUUUUGGAACUAUUUGUAGAUAAUCAUGUCUUCAGGAAAUCCAGAGUUUACCAUCUCCCCUUCAGCUCUGUAUUAUUUCCUUGUGUUUUUCUUGCCUUAAUACACUAAGUGGGCUCACUGCUGUGAUGUCAGGUAGGAGCAGUGACAGCAGAUGUCCUCAGCUUUUAUGUGAGCCUUGGGGAAACUCUUCUCUCCACUGUCUCUCACCAUUUAAGUGUGAUGCUUGCCGUAGAUUUUUAUUUGUUUUGUUGGAUCAGCAUUGGGCUAAUUUCUUGACAUCUUUCAUAUUUUUCUUCUUUAGCCACUCACAUAUGAAUUACAUGCAUGGGUUUUUCUAGGAUUAAAUGCACUUCCAUUUGUGAGAGAAACCUCAAUUUUUCAUGAUACAUUAAAGUGUUACUAGAUUUUAUUUGACUGUAUUUGGAGGAUUUGGAGAGUUCUCUGUUUAUGAGAGACAUUAGUGCAUAGUUUCUUUCCUGUAAUAUAUUUUUCUGAUUUUGUUAUUAAAGUACCUCAGGUUACAUAAGAUGAGUAUUCCAUCUUGUAUAUCUGGAAGUGUAUGGGUAGAAUGUAUCAGUGAAGUCGUAUUGGCUAGGAGGGCUUUUCAUUUUCUUUGUCGGAGGAUUUAUGACUGGAUUCAAUGUCUUGAGUAGGUACAGGAGGAUACUUCAGAACGUCACAGGGAAUGAAGUGGAAAGCUUAUUGUGGAGCAGAAGUUCGUGUCAAGAGGCCAGCAGAAAUGUCCUCCCAGGCUGAGGAGAGGAGGAUGUGGAGUGACCCCGUGGGAACGUGUGCCUGGGACAGAGCUCCACCGGCCCCACCACAGCUGGAGCAGGCUGAAGCCAAUAGUGGGAGCCAGAAGUAGAAUCCAGGUGUCCUCCAAAGUAGCAGGAACUCAGUCAUUUGAGCCAUCACCAGUGCCCCCCAGGGCCUGCAUGAACAGGAACCGGAAGUCAGGAGCCUGAGUCGGUGUCAGACCCUGUGCUGCAGUCUGGGAUGCAGGCAUCCAAACUGGUGUUGAUGUGUGCUUCACAGGCACGGAGGUGGUCAGCAUGAACGUCUGUGUGGGCCUGAGAGAGUGUAGAGCCUGCUGCUGUGGGAUGGAGCAUCCUCUCCGUGCCCAGUAGAUGCACAGGUGAUUGAUGGCACGGGAACCCCAGAAGACAGUGUCAUCUCUGCACUUCAUCUUUCUGGAGACGUGGCUGUCAGGGACUUCUGUGACCUCCGUGUUCCAGCCGGCUGCUUCCCAUUGGUGCUCCAUGGAAGCCACCGGGCCCAGCUGCUCUCAGGUCCAUGGUCGGCUGCUACCUCUGCCUGAGCCUCGGGCUCUGGGCUGAAGCAGCGUGCGAAGUGGAAAAUCGUGGACUUGUUUCUCUGAUCCAGCAUAGAGACCUUUUAAGGUGAGUGAGGAAGACUUCUAGUUUCCGUUUGUGAUUCCUCCCUGUCAGCCUGUGCCAUGCCAUUCUUCUUUGCAUAUUGCUCUUUGAUUCUGCUGCUGUGCUGGGCAUGCUGGGAGUUCUACCACUGCUGUGGAUUGCUUAGCACUUUUCUGAAUGUGAGCUCACGCUAGGGGAGAACAGGGGUGAUUCUGCCUCUCCCAGGAUGGUUGCUUUUCACUUCCUUUUUUGCCUGCAGUGGCACUGCUGAAGACCAUUUUUUUGUUUCUAAUGUUUUUUAAAGAUUGAUUUAUUUGUGUGGGGAGCAACCCGGACUAGACUAAGUUACUGGAAUUAAGACUUAUUCUAUGCAUCUGCUCUCCCACAAUAUGGCGCUGAGAAGGGAGAAACAGCUUCUACACAGCUGCCUCCAGUUCAACCAAAAUACUGUAGGAACUGCUCCUGAUUGGAGGAGAGCAGCGUACUCGGUGUGUGGGCAGCAGAGUUGGGAUUGGUGGAAGAGGACUAUAAAGGAGGAGAGAGACAACAUGCACCAGGAACAUCUAUCUGAAGGAACACCUGUGCAGCCCCCGAGAGAGCCGGCCGGCGGUGUGCUGCUCCCCCGUGGAAGUGGGGAAUGUGGCAGGGGGAACUGCCCUUCCACGGAGGUGGAAGGGACGGCAGCCAACCCGGGAAGAACCAGCAGCAAACCCGGGAAGGGCCGAGCAGAGAAAAGAACAACGCAGGGUCCUGUGUCAUUCCUCCAGGAAGAGGGGGAGCGACAAUUUGAAAGGCAGAGUUAAGACAGACAGAGUUCUUCUAUCCACUGGUUCAUUCCAAAUGGCCACAGUGGCUACUGGGACGGUCAAAGCCAGGAGCUUCAUGGAGGUCUCACACAUAGGGCAGGGCCCUAAAUACUUGGGCCAUCCUCUGCUGUUUCCCAGGCACAGUAGCCGGGAGCCGCAUCAGAAGUGGAGCACUUGGACUCAAACCCUUGCCCGCCUGGUAUGCAGCCGCCGCAAGCAGCGGCUUUACCUCCUAUGCCACACGCACAGGCCCUGGGACUAAGUUUUAAUAUUGGGAAAUGUGAUCUUCUAACAGUAUCUUUUAUUUUCAAAGCUGCUUUGCUCCUACUGGGUUCCUUACCUCUCUGUAUGAAUUUUGGCAUCCGUACAUCAAGUUUGAAGAAAGGGCACUAGAGCUUGGAAGGAAUUGUGUGAUUUGUGUAGGGAAUUCGGGGAGUAUUGUUAUAUUAACAGCACUACAGCAUGUUGAUCAGAAGUAACAAGAGCAAAACCGUUAGUCUUCUUCCUGAUCUAGGAAGAGCGAUUCCUGUUUUCUUUUUUAAAUUUCUGCACCCCAGAGUCUUUUAGAUUUUCAUAGAAAAUGUACUGAAUAUUUUGAAUUCUUUGAAUAUCAUUCACCUAGUAAUGUUAUUAUCAAUUUGCUUUUUUAAAAUAGGUAUUUAUUUGAAAGAGAGAGGGAGUGAGGGAGGGAGAGAGACAGAGAGAGAGAGAGAGGGAGAGGUCCUCCAUCUGCUGGUCCACUCCAUAAGUAGCUGCAACAGUCAAAGCCAGACCAAUCCGAAGUCAGGAGCCAGGAGCCUCCCCAGGUCCCCCACAGGAAUACAAGGACCCAAGCACCCGAGACAUCCUCCACUGCUCUCCAGGGCAAGGAGGGAGCUGGAUUGGAAGCAGAAUAGCCAAGACUGGAACCGGUGCCCACAUGGGAUGCUGGCACCACAGGCGGCAGCUUUACCCAUCAUGCCAGAAUGCUGGCCCCUAUUUGAUUUUAUGUUUUUAAGGUUAUUUGUGUAUUUGAAUUCAGAGCUACAGAUUGGAUUGUGUGUGUGUGUGUGUUCGUGUGUGUGUGCGUGUGCGUGUGUGUGAGAGAGAGAGAAACUGUCUUCCUACAUCCACUGGUAUACUGGUUUCCUCCCCAAAUAGUCACAUGGCCAGGCCUGGGCCAAGCUGAAACCUGAGGUCUGGAACUCCAUCUGGGCCCAGAGUCUUGGGCCAUUUUCUCCUGCUUUUCAGACAGAUUCCCAAGGAGCUGAAUCAGAAGUUGAGCAGCCAAGUCUCAUACCAGUGUCCGUAAGGGAUGCCAGCAUGGCAGACAGUGGCUUCACCUGCUGUGCCAUGAUCCCAGCCCCGAGACCAAUGAAUUUAAAAGAGAAGUUUAGGAUGGGCCCUGGCACAGCAGUUACAUCUUGGGAAGCCUGCAUCCAUGUCAGAGUGCCCAGGGUCAAUUCCCAGUUCUCCUCCUCUUCCACCUCCUUGGGAGUUUAUACCCUGGGGGGCAGCAGAUGGCUGGCUCUAGUACUGGAGUCACUGCCACCAAUCUGAGAGAUCUAGAUGGAGUUCCAGGUCCUGGCUUCGGCCUGACACAGCCCUGGUUAUUGCAGACACUGGAGAGUGAAGUGGAUGCAAGUCUGUGUGUGUGUGUGUGUGUGUGUGUGGUGAGCCUUUCAGAUGAAAAGCAGUAAUGAAAUAGAGAGAUAAGUUUAUUUGGUAUGAAAAAUUUUGAAUUCCAUGCACAGGUGUUCAUUUCUUUAUUUUUUUUUAAGUUUCACUUAGUUAUUUGGAAGGCAGAGUCUUUAUCUGCUGGAUCCCUCUCAAAUGGCCGCACAAGUCUUCCAGGUCCCAUGUGGGUGCAGGGGCCCAAGCCCUUGGGCCAUCUCUCACUGCUUUCCCAGGCCAUUAGCAGGGAGCUGGAUCAGAAGUGGAGCCCUGGGACUCAAACUGGUGCCCAUAGGGGAUGUAGGCGCCCCAGGUGGAGCCUGAACCUACUACCCCCACGCCAGCCCCUGCAGUGCCACUGCCUCCUCCUCCCUCGUGGGCCCCACUGGCUUCCGGGAAGUGGCCCUGGGAACUUCCGGUUUCUCCCCUUUCAGGACAGGCUGCCCGGGUGGGUGGAGGCAGCCAUUGUGUGUGCUGGGUCUCAGCGCAGGCCACAGCGCCCUCACCACACCGAGGCCACUGGCUUCCUGGGUGCUCCAUGGGAACUGCAGGGGGCAUCGUGGGUGGAGCAGGGCGCUGGGCGGCGGCUCCCACGGGUGAGCCUAGUGCUCUAGGCCCGAGGCGGCGUUGAAGCAAAGGCCUUCGCGGGCCUCUGUCCAGCAAGCACAACGGGGCUCCCUGUGGUGAGUGAGGGGGGCAUCCCGGGUUCCUGCUGGGGGCUUCCCUGCUGGCUUGGGCCAGGCCUCUGCACCUUGCCUGUUGCUCUGGGGUCCUGCAGGGAGCAGGGCAUGGGUGGAGUCGCGGUGGUGCUGUGCGGACCCUUGUACUUUGCCCAGUGUGCGAGCAGCUGUGGAGAGCAGAGGUGGCUCUGCCUGCUCCCAGAACGGCCCGUGUUCCCCUUUGUGUCCUUGUUGAUGGCCCAGCCACCCUGCUCUAGACCUCUGAGCCCCCUGACCCAGGAGUAGGAGCGAACAUGCUUGUCUGUUUCCUGGGCUCCGAGGACGGUUUCUGGUUACUGCAUUCGGUGUGAUGCUGUGCUGUGUGCGUUUUUCAUGACAGACCAUUGUCCGGCCAAGGUUGGCCUUCGUUCCUAAUUAGAUGAUUUCUUUACUAUCUCAAGGUAACUAAGUUUUGUGAAAUAGGUUUUCUCUGUCUAUAGGGGUGCUUUGUGGGCUUUUCCCAUGUUGAUUCUGUUCUAUGAUACAUUGAUUUUCAUAUGGAAGCCAUCCUUGCAUUCCUGGAGUAACUCCCAGUUGCACAGAGUAUGCAAACCUUUUUUGUACUCCUGGAUAGGGUUUGGUAAUCUUUUGUUGAGGAAUGGGAUAUAUUCAUAAUGGAUAUUUGUGUGCCAUUUUCUUUAUGAUCUGUUUGUGUUGGAUUUUGGGCUAAUGGUGGUCUGUUGGAAUAAAAUGGAAUGUUUUUCCUCUUCAUCUCUUUUUGGAAGGGUUUGCGAAUCAAGGACUUUAAUUAUCCUUUAAAUGGGAGUUUUCUCCUGUGGAACCAUCUGGACCUGGACUUUUCUUCAUGUUUUUUUUUUUAAAUUUUUUUCCUGCUACAGCAAUCUCUUUCCAAAUUAUAAGUAUAUUCAGACAAGCGAAUGGAAGACCUCUCUCUGUCCCUACCUCUCUCUGUAACUCUGUUUUUAAAAUAAAUGAAAAAAAGAAAGAGUAAGUAUAUUCAGAGUUUCUAGUUUUACUGGAGUUUUUUAGCGGUUUGUUUCUUUCUGAGAAUCAAUCCAUUGUAUCUACGUUGAACCAAUUUUUUUUGAAGAUUUAUUUGAAAGAGUUACAGAGAGAGGUCGAGACAGAGGUCUUCCAACCACUGGUUCUCUCUCCAGAUGGCCCUAAUGGCCGGAGCUGUUCCAGUCAAGAUCCAGGAGUUUCUUCCGGGUCUCCCACAUGGGUGCAGGGGCCCAAGGACCUGGGCCAUCUUCUACUGAUAUCCCAGGCUAUAGCGGAGAGCUGUAAUGGAAGAGGAGCAGCUGGGACUAGCACCAGCACCCUCUAAUUUUUUAUUUCACCUUCAUUCAUGAAUUAGAGCUUUGCAAGGUUUAGUAUUCUGGGUUGACAACUUUUCUCUUAUGGCUUGGAAUAGAUCUCACCACUUUCUCCUAGCCCAUACUGGGUUUCUGAUGAGAAUUCAGAUGUGAUUAUAAUUGGAGAUCCUCUUAAUAUAGUCUGAUGUUUCUCUUGUGUACACUUUAGAAUCUUUGCUUUAUGUUUGACUGUGAAGAAUUUGACUGAAGUGUUUCAUGGUGAAGAUCUUUUCUGGUCAUGUUUAUUAGGAGUUCUAUGUGCUUGUGUUUGAGGGGAGAGACAUAUUCAGUUUUCUCAGAUGCAUUUGCUAUGUCUCUAAAGGCUUAUGUGUGUGUCCUUAUUCUGUUUAUUACAUUGAUUGCCCUGUCGUGUUUACCAUCCUUGCAUUCCUGGAAUUAUGCUCAGUUAAUCAGAGUGUGUAAACCUUUUAUUACGCUGGAUUCCGUUUGCUGAUAAUUUUUGUAUAUUUGCAGGUGAUGCUUGUUUGUAGUUUUCUGUAUGAUGUAGUCUUAUUUUCACAUCAGGCUCGUACUGGUGCCCUGACAUCAGAUGGCAGGUGCUUCUUCUUAUCUACUUUUGGAAGGGUUUCUGAAUUCUGGUUUUAAUCAUCCUUUACAUCUGUUGGUGGGUGCUCACGGCUGCUGCUCUCCCAGCCCUGACUCAGCCCCCUGGAGGGCACAGGUGAAUCUCAGGCAUUAGCUUCAGGGUGCUGUGCAGAUCUCUGCCUGGGGUGGGGGCUGUGGAGCCUCCAAAGCUCGUCAGAAACACAGAGAAGCCCUGCUGAAGCUGGGCUCUGGGGGUCACAAAACUGGAGCAGACAUGUUCCAAUCUAACACUUUAAUACAUAGGAACAAUUGAAUACACGUCAGCAUCAAGAAUAAAGGCCUAAAGGUUCUCCUUGAGGGUGGGGGUGGGAACAGUCCAGUAGCUAUAGGCACUAUGCUAUCACCUUCCAGCGAUGGAGGUGCCCACAGCAGUCCUGACACCCCUCUGUCCUGGCCCCAGGAAGAGGCGGGGGAGGGCCACUGGGUGGGUGGGGGCUCAAUCCAGCGUAGAGGACUCUGUGUAAAGAACGGCAGGCUGCUGUCCAGCCUGGGCAGGACACAUGGUGGGCAUGGCCUCUCUUCCAGGAGGCACCCAUCAUCCAGGUGCCCCAUGGAGUAGGAGGUAAGGAGGCCUCGGGCCAGGGAGGGCACCAGGCCUGGUCUCGCAGCACAGGGCUGGCUCUGGCCGGCUCCAGCCCGUGACUGUCCCCAGAGUGCGAGGGGCUGCCAUGCAGGUAGGGAGUCUUCAGCUGUGGCCCCCAGGCUGGGACGGCCUGCAUGGGCCCUGGUUCUGGGGGCUCCGAAGCCUGUGGAGGAGCCCACAUCCACAGGCCCUCCCGGCUGCCAGCAUCAGAAGAGUCGUCUUCCCUCUGUCCUGCCAGCUCAGGUUAGGGAAACUGGCACACUGGCACAGCCCUCCCCUCCCCCACAAGCUCUCUGGAGUCUCGGAAGGGUGGUAACACGUGGAGACUCUGCGCCCUCACAGCAGAACCUAAGGCCGAGGGGCUCUGGGCUGCCUUCUUCACAGUUCUCCUCCUCCUCCAUGUCUUUCCUCAGAGCCAUGUGGAGGCCAAACCUUGGUAGAGCCUGCUUCAUCUCUGGGUAGGAUACGAGACCCCUGGUCUGCUCCCAGUGCCUGCAUGUCCUCAGUGCUGAUCUUGGCCUUUGGAGCUGUGGGGGCAGGGAUGUGCUACUGGGAGACGCUUUGCAGGAUACGUCCUGCUUGGACCUGUCCCCUCGUUGCCUGCUUGGACCAGGCUCCUCAGAGCAGGGCCUGUCUUGUCUGCACAGCAGGGUCCCUCCUUUGUCUGCUGGGGCUGGGGGAGCUCAGCUCUGCUCAGGGCCACAUGAAACUAGGACAGGAGAGCCAGACACUGGGACAGGAGCUUCUGUGGGCAGAGAUCCCCAGGGGCUCUUACCCCUUCCAGAAAGCACUGAGUAAACCAGUGGGCCGUGAAGUCCCCGAGACACACAUCCUCCUCCUAAGAAGAGGCAGGGGGAGGUCAGGGCCCACGGAGCAGGCCUGACUCCCUCUAGUCUGAGCCCCCGGGUGCAGAAGCCCAGCACCAGGUUCACCCCCUCCCCCACAGACAUGCAGGUUCCUGAAGGGACACAGUUCCUAUCUCCCACUCUUCCCUGGGGACAGCAUCUCCCUUCAAUCUACGCAAACUCUGGAAGACCAAGUGCUAGAAAACAAACCAACACCCAAACUGAUGCAGACCCCAGUAACCAAGGAAGCCUUGGUGAGGACAUGGCCUCCCCUGGCCCAGGAAGGAGACAGGACCCCUUUCUGUCCUCCCCUCCAUGAGCACAGAGCGUCCGGGAGGAGACAAGAUGUUUUACUUACCAGGUGUUUCUGCAGGGAGGGGAGUGGGCGAUGCAUGAUAUGUUCAAGAUGUUGCUGCAGUCUUUCCAGUUUUGGGGAGUGCGGUUUGUAGAAACCUGAGGAGUAUCAGCCAUGCACCCCACACACAAACACACACACAUAGGAAGCUGGAGAACCAAAGACUGGGGUGGGGUGUUUCUGAGCACUGAGGGUCAGGGGCUGCACUAACAGAAGCAGGUGGAAAUGAACUUGGCCAUGGCAGAGCACCUGCAGAGGGCGGUGGGUGCAGGUGGGUGACUGUGUGCAGCCCAAGCAGGCUUCCCCCUGGAGACUGCUGGGGUGAGUGUAGGCAGACUGGGUGCCUCCUGACCAUUCAGACACAGAGCAAGGAUGGAUGACCCCACAGGGGAUGCUGCCUUCUGCAUGUUCCCUGGGUGUGGCUCUGUGCUUGAGAGGAAGCAAAGAGUUUGUGAGGCAGAAGGGACACUGGGGACCUGUGUCACGUGGGUUAGCACAGGACCCCUUGUUCUGAAGGUUCCAACACCCAGGAUGGCCGUGGCUAGGCUCCAAGGCCUUUGGAUGUUAGAGAAGUGGUCUGGUUCAGUCUAGGAUUCCUCAGUCAGUCCUGGCUUCUAGGAAGCCCCCCCACAGGGACAGUGUCCUGCACACUCAGGAGCCAGUGAGGGCCGUGCAUGGUCUUGCAUGCACUGGGCCCCACACGCCACCCACCUACUGUGCAUCCCGUGUUUGUGGUUCUCCAUGAACUGGAUCAGCACCUAGAAAAAAUUCCUCACUCAUCUAUGUCAGCAAGAGCACCGCCACAUGCCUCAGGUCCUGGCCGUAGCUCACCUCCUGCCAGAUCCCAGAAUGCCUCUAGCUGACCUCCCCUGGCAAAAUGAACUCUCCUGGGAUGGCCCACUUCUCAAGGAGAUCAGGGUCGCCCACUGAAGGGCCCAGGAAGAUUGAGGAAGCAGCCCCUCCGGCCUCCCCCUCAGCCUGAAUCCUGCCACUUGGUGUCGGCAUCCUAAGAAUUGGAGCCCACGUCUCAGUGUUCCUGGAGAAUCCUACAGGGCCUGAGCUCAUGCAGCACAGGGGGGAGACCAGAAGCAAGGACACCUUGUACCCCCAAGAUGUCAGGAUGGGCCAGGCUGCUGUAAGAAUCCAGGCUCCACACCCAUGGUAGCUGCUGGAUACGUGAGUGCCACAGGUGACCUGUUGGCCCUUUCUCACAUGAGGGAGAAGUAAGCCAGGAAGUGCACCAGGCCAGGGCCGGAACAGGGAAGUGUGCCUCUGUCAUGGGUGCAGGCUGGGCUUCCUGAGUGCCAGGCCCCAGGGCUCCAGGCAGAGUUGGUCAGUGGCAGGUCAGGGGGAUGGGGAUGCCCAGGCCUUGGAGGAUCACCCAUGGAGUCCUGCACCUGCUCCCCUCAUUGGAAAGGUCUGAGUGGGUGGUUGUGGCAGUGGCACGGUGUGGAGUGGGAUUCAGGCCCUUGGCACCUGCCGCAUGUCUGACAGGUGCAAAGGCAUCAGCGGGGCCCAGACUUGACUUUCAUAACCACUGCAAAGUCACACAGCUCAUGUCCACUCCCACCUGACUGGUGGGGCACUAGUCCUGGGAGGGGCAUCCCACCCCUGCCAAGCUCCUAGGGUUGGGAGAUCAUCAGAAGGCUGCCCUUCUGUUCACCGAAUUGAGUUCUAUCGAAGAAGGGCGUAACCCUGGCCUCUGCCUCUCUGUCUCUGAGUUGUGGAAUAGAGAGACUGCUCAGACCAGAAAGGGAUCUCUGUGAGCAGGACACCCUGCAGGGACUGCCAGGAUAGCACCUGUGAUAAGAUCCCAGAAGACUCAAGUGAUUAUGAACAGAAUAGGCCAUGAGCACUUGGAAUAAGGCGCGUUGGCUGGAAGAGAGAGGACAGAGGCUGUGCGUCCUGUGCUGCCGAGGCUCAGUGUGGCUCUGCCUAACAGAGCCUCACAGCCACACACAGGGCCUGUGACACUCUGCUCAUGAGCAGUGAUGUCGUCAGGGCACCUGCGUGUGGUCCACCGUGUGGGUGAGCGCUGCCUGCAAUGACAUGCACACAUCUCAGGGAUGCAGUUGUGUGCAGUUUCACUUCCCGAGCUGUGUGUUCAGAUUGCACAGGAGGGCGUCCACUGAGGCAGGUACCAUCCCGUGGGUCUCACUCCAUGGAGAGUCAGCCUCCCAUGCACCACUGCAGCCUCGUAGGGAGCAAUUCCGUCACCUAUGAGCUGCCCACGGGCCCUCAGUGACAAAACUUCCCAAACUCCCCCUCCUUAGGCCAAACUGUCCUCUUCUCUGUCCCAGGGCACGGCCUCUUGCAGAUGUCGUAUGAGUGGAUCACAGCACGUGUAGUCUUAGAGGGACGCUUCCUCUCAGCAGAAUGCACCCGAGAUGCAUCCGGGUCAGCCCAGGCCCGAGCCUUGUCCUGCCUCUCGCUGAAUCCCAUUUUAGGAUUCAGCAGUAACACAGGUAACACGCCUGCACCCAGCAUCCUCCGUGAUUUCAGAUCCCCAGUUCUCACAGCUGUGCAUGGUGCCCCACUGUGGUUCAGGUACUAAGCGUGUGUUCACGCGUUGAGGAGGUGAAUUGUGUGUGCUUUCAUGAAGGGGUCCUAUGAGCCCGUGUCCCCGGGGCGCCGGGAGGCUGUGCACUGCUUCCUCGUUAGUGAGUUGAAGGGCUCUCUGAAUGGUCUGGAAAUAAUACCUUCAUUAGAUAGAUUGCUAAUGCUGUCUCCUCUUGUGUGUGUUCAUUUCAUCCUCUCCCACAGUGUCUUUUGGAAAGUUUAUAUGAUAUAAAAAAGGCCCAUGGCCCCAUUUUUUUUUCCCAAAAGGGAUUUUUGCUCUAGGUUUGUAUGUGAGUCUCUCCUAGGAACCCCAGUUGUCCCAGGGACCCUUGCUCACCCCACCCCUGAGGCCCUGAGGCCCUGAGGCCCCGAGGCCUCACUUGAUUCCAUAUCGUUCUCUGAGCAUCAGGUGACUUCUUAAAGUCCCCGUAACAGUGGAGUGGAUCUGCUGGAAUUGGUUUGGGUACAGCCUGUCCUGUUCUUUCAUCUCCUGCAGGGCGGGGGCAAGGGGGAGGGGCCUGCCUCAGGAGCAGCAAAGCCCCAUUGCCACAAAUUUCUCCAAUCCACAGCAGCUCUUCUGGCUGACGUCCCCCCCAGUGCCCAGGAUCCCUGCAGAAGGGGCCACUGAGACCCCGAAUUGUCUGCAUGAGACAGGGGCUCUGAAGGUCCCUGUGCACUCCCCCUGCCUGCCCCCAGCACUUCUCAGCAGAGAAUCAGUCUGCACCCCAGCCAGGCUUCAGAUCCUCCUCCCUGCAUCUCAGGCCCUGCUACACCCAGACCAGUGGUGAAUGCUGCCCCCUGCGGGAGGGGCCCAUCAAUAGCAAGACAUUGGAAAGCGCCCUUGGGUUUGAGUUGCCCCUGGGCAAUGACUGUCCUCAGGCCCAGCUCCCAGGGCCAGCCCCAAUCUCAAGACUUCGGGGAGCACAGGGUUGGCCACACAGCUGGGCCCUGCUCCCUGAUGGCAGCCGGCGUCAUGAGAGCCAUCUGCAUUGCCAGAAGCAGCUGAGAGCUGAGUGUGACCGUUAGACAAGCCACUCCAGGCAAGGGCAAGGCCAGGGGGAGCAAGUCAGGUGAAAGCAGCGGCAGAUGUGGGAGGGCCUGUGAGCACGGAGCCUGUAGAGAGUCACUUCAACACACCAUUGUGAUCUCAAAUUGGGAGACGCCACCCAUCAAGGACCAGCAAUUCCUGUGUGCUGUUCUUGUGGCAAGCUGCCCAGCUGAGCUCAGCAGAGAGAAGGGCCAGUCCCCAGGCAGGGAGCCUAGAUGGCCCAGCUGGGUCUGGGGAGACGUGGAGAAGGCCCUGAGGAGGACCCGGGGAGAGGAAGGCAGGAUAGGGAGGAGGUUCCUGAGGGCCCAGUGACCAGACCACGGAGGCUCAGGCUCCUGACCAGGCCCGAGCAGGCCGGGCCCCCUUGGGCUGAGUGUAGAGCUGUACCUUUAUUUGCCCGGAUUCUCGGCCUUCUUGUUGUGGGUGACCAGCAUCAGGGCCCACACCUUCCCACGCACCUGGGCAGGGAUUCCUUUACAGCCUCUUCGAUGAAACUGCAGGAAAGAGGAGCCUCCAGUGAGUGGUGCACGUGGCCACUCGGGGAGGGAGAAGCCAGGGGCUCCGUGUGUAUUGGCAGAGGGAGGAUCUGCCCAGAUGGGGCCUUAUGACCCACAGUGACUGGGGGCCAAGGGCUCAGGGGCACUGGCUCUGGCAUGCACUGACUGCCCCCUACAGGGCUCCUGGAACCACACCUGCCCUGCAUCCGGGAUUGUCUUCAGCAGUGACUUCAGAUUUUCUACCAGGACAGUGUCCUGCGUGUAUGGGGAAGGGGUGCACAUGACCUGUGUCCCUGGGGGCUGGACAGUUGCCCCUGGGCAUCUGAGAGGCAGGCGGUGCCUGGCACGGGAAUGGGCACUGCUCAAACCCCAACUCAGCUCUCAGUGUUCCCGAGGGGCCCUCAGCUCCACGGUACCUUCUUGCUGCCGCGGUAUUUGCUAUGAUUCUUUAUCAUUUUCACCCACUUCUGGAUCCUGUGCACCUGUUUGUGCUGGAAAACAAGACAGGAUGGUGUGAGCCCAGCUUCAGGCUCUGAGAGUGGCCCUCAGAUGGAGCUCCGGAGCUCUGUGUGCACUCAAAGGAAGGAACCAGAAAAGACACAGACCGUGAGCCCCAGGUCUUCUGUCUGGGGAGCGUCGGUGGCCUGGCCUCUGACCCAAGCUGCCCCUGCCUCAAGGCAGAGCCCCUGAGCUCCAGCCAGGUCACUCCCAACCAUGCCAAUGAGUCAUGGCGGCCGACAGGCAGAUGCCCCUGAGCUGUGGCUCAGUUCUGGGACAGGUGAGUGUGUUCAGGUGUCAGCAGGUGCCGUGUAAGUACUGCAUCGCAGGACCUUAUGGCGUUCCCAGUAACCACUGCUGAGCCCCACAUGCCCCCUCCACCCAGCUCUGCUUCCCAGAUGACUGGCCCAUGGCCAAGGGCUUGUCUUUACCUUUGCCCCCGGGGUGCUGUCUUGGGGUAUCUUCUGCUCACUGGAAAGCAAGGGAAGCGGAGAGGUGUGGACAGGUUCCUGAUCAGACACUUCUGCCUCCCUAGUGGGCCAGGGAGGAACCAGUUUCAUUAUCUGUGGGUGAUUGUAUGCCUAGCUUUUGGAUUGUCUGCCUAGCUUGUGCAGGAGGUUAGCCAGACUGCUGGCAGGUGGCAGGAGCCACAGGCACAUUUCCCCGCCCCUGCUGCCUGGUAUAGGGCCCUGUCAUUGCCCAUCAGGGAAACUGCUCCCGGGUGUGGCCCUGGCCCAUGAAGAAGGCUCUAGCCUAUGUGACCUUCACACUGAUUGGAGGAGCCUAGCAGAGCCAACAUCGGCUCUAGCCUAUCAAUUAGUGUUGCCCUGAACUAGCUAUGCCCUUUCUGCUUGCACUUUAAGAGGUGUGCUUGAUCAUUAAUAAAACGGGCAUGGUCGCCAAUCUUGUCUCUGGUGCUUGUGGAAGAACGCUGUUGCCCCACCAUCCCACAGUGUGUGGCCUCACAGGACAAGCCCGCAGCUGGUGCCCAAACAGGGACCUCAACGUAUACGGUGAGCGAGGGUGGGGCCCUCCCUGCUAGAUGAGGAGGCAUCGUCUGUGGUCAGGCCCCCAGUCCCUCUCUGCUAGUUGAAGAGGGUACACUCAUCCCAUUCUAGGGCCCCUCACCGUGUACCAGCCCCAGGCCCCCUCUGCUAGGAGAGAGGUAAUACCGUCCCAUUCUAGGGAGGUCUGCCCACAUGUUCUAACGUUGCUUAUCUGUCCAUCUUUCACCCUGUCCAUUAUCUGUGCUCCAUGCUGGGAUCGUGACUGGGGGCGGGAGCUCUGAUGGGGAAGUGCAGCUGCCCUGGGUGCCUGGUCCCAGCUGGGAGACACAGGGUGUGGGGCAAGGGGUGGAGAGCACGUGCUGCUACAGCACUGCGGGCUGGGCCUUCUGGCGCUCCAGGGAAGCCCAAGUUGGGCGCCCUGGCAUAUAUGCACCGGGGGGAGUGGUGGAGAGUGAGGAAGCAGAGGUGGGAUCCCAAACCCUGGACCCUCCUCUCCCCAGGUUCGACCCGCUCGGGUGCAUGCAGCGACCAAGCAAGUCCCAGAACGCCUGUUAGAACUCAUAUGGUCUCCCCCCAUCCAGGCGCAUUUCCCGAGGGAGGAGGAAGCCCUGCCUGGGCAGUGACUAAGCCACAGGUACUCCAUGGCUUGUAGAAUUUGUAUUCAAAACAGAAACAGGAGAACUCAGAUGCUUACAAAGGUUCUGAGAAUUUCAGCUCUGUUCCUGGGCUUUUGAUUUUCAAAUCGAGCUUGCUUUCAGUUAUUCCAGGUUGGAGAACUGAUUUGGUUGCCUGGAAACAUGUUAGCAUCAGGGACGCGGAGCAUCAAAAAUGGCAGAUGCUCCACCCCAGCAUGAAGAAGAUGGGCAACAGACUCUGCCCCACGUUGGUGGCCCUCAGGGUCUGGCAUAUAAUGAACACCUGAUUGUUAGAGUGAUCUAUAUAGAAAUCCGUAGUAUCUGUAUUACAGAACAAACAUCGCUUGGUCCAGUGUUAAAGGAAUUCUAACUAAUGCAAUGCAUCCAAGUCAAAUGCUUAAGGAUAAUUAAGCUCGCAGAGAGCUGUGUCUGUUUAUGUCUUCUCAGGUCCUACAAAGGAACUGUAAAGCUGUGGAUUCCUGCGUGGAUUCCUGCGGACCUCCUUCUAAGGGUACAGUUUUAAACCUAGCAGUGGGAUCCCAAAUCCCCUUGGGCUAGAUGGCAAAAGUGACAAAGUGAUCCUGUCAGUAGGAUUAAGUAUUUACUGCUAUUAAUGAAUAGGAUUAAAGAGGAGUAAAUGCUCCAACGUGGGAAGGAGUCUGUCCCACAGACUCCUAGAGUGGCAGGUGCUGGAAGUAGCGCUCACUGACCCCCUAGUCAGCCCUCGAGGCAUCCUGGUCUGGCUGAAAAGGCCAGGAGAGCAGUUCAGGCAUGGAAACCCGGGACACUCGCGCAGAAAGCAUUCCUACAUGCGGGACCUCCCUGGGCGAGACCCCAGUGGAAAGAAGUGGUCAUCAAAGAAGGCUGUACUUUUCUCUGAAGGGAGGAGAGAACUUCCACUCUGCUUGUGGCCUUGUCUGAAUGUUGACAGAGUUUGAGGACUCAAAAGGCUUCCAUAGCCUAGGAAGCUCAUGUAGGAGCCUGGGUGCUCACUGAUUCCUGCAUUAGAGUGUUAAUUGUUAUAUCAACAGCAGGGGUCACUGUGUGCUAACUUCCCCUGCAGGACCUCUGUCCUCAGAGAGCUACAGCAUUAGCAUUAAUGGUAAAACUCGUUCCCAAAGAUUUCCCUUGUGUAGUGUGUUACACUCUUAGGUGUCAUGGGUUCUAUUUAUGUCUAAGUGCUAAAUGCCAUUGCCUGUAUUCUUAGGCAAUUCCUUAAAGUUUAUUAAGUGUCUCCAAUGUGAACUCUUCGACCCAUGUCUCUCUCUCAUAGUCCUGUCUUGUAUGUAUAACAUAGGGUGGAAUACAGAGUACUGAGUGGUUAAAGGCCUCAGGGAUACGGAGAAGACGGCCGUUUCAAUGCAUCUUGCUGUGUUGCUAAACCUUUGCAUAUGGGACAGUUUCUUCUGUAUCCCACUCAACUCAAAGUCUGGGCUAGUGAGGAUCCAGAACUUCCCAAAUCUCAGGGAUCUAAACUGGAGACUCACAAAACAGCUGAGAAUAUUUCUGGGAAUGGCAAGAUUCUGUAGAGUACGGAUCCCGUGAUGUGGACUCCACGCUUCUGUAGAUGGCUUUAAAAGGCCCUGAGGCAGACACACUGUGCUGGAGAAGGUAGCGACAAAAGUUCUAACCAAGAAUUAAGGAGCUUCUUAGAAGCUAAAACCUUGGGAAUUGCUGAUGACAGGGUUCUAUGGAAUCCGGAUUCCAGGAUUUGGAUUCUAAGACUCUGUAUGUGCUUUAAAAGGCCCUGAGGCAGACACACUGUGCUGGACGGGGAGCUGCAAAAGGAGUUCCAAGGAACGAAGGCACUGCUAACAAAAUUCCAACAUCAGGAAUUCUUGAGGAGGGCAUUCCUGGAAAGAUCUUCUUCAGGUCAGUUAUAGCUUACAUGGAAGGGACUUCACCAGGCGCUACUGAGCACGCCCACCCCAGUGAGGUUAGGAUGAAACUUCUACCUCUUAAGUCUUCUCAGGAGAAUUCCAAGACACAGCUGAUUAUUCCUGUAAGCCAAGUAGAGGCCUUCAGCAAAGAGAGUAAAGCUUUGACAGUCCUCACAUCAAGAGUGCUGCUGUCCCUUCAGACACCUGUGCCUGCCUCUCUCAAGUCUCUCUGGGAGCUGCUACUGACAUGCAAGUCCUCAUGUGUUUUUCUAUUGUAAUCCUCUAUGCUCAAGUGAAAUGGGUUUAUAAUCUGUCACCACCCACUAUGUGGGAGUCUGUAUGGUACAUUCUUUCCAUCUUACGGGGCACUGGACUCGCAAUUGGUCCUGUUCCACUUCUGUGAUGCUACUUAACAAGCUUAUCUGUUUCAGAACUUAACUUCUGGGAGUAGCUGACCAUGCAGGGGACACAGACAUUGGCAGGGACCGAGACCGCUCCAGCUCACAAAGCAAACUUGUUCGAUGAGCUAGGCAGAGACUCCCAGCCCCAGCAAGGCAGGGCCUGCACUACGCCCCUCAUAAGCAGGAAGCAGCUAUAGAAGAUGUGAUGAUUCUACAGCCUUCAGCAUCCCUUAGGAUUAAGGGACUGGAGUCUCUGAAGGGGCUGUGAUGUAGGCGGGCAUAUAGGAUUAGGUUUGUGAGCUGGAAGACCACGCCCUCAUGCCCCUACCUGACCACAUCUGUACGCCCACCUGCCAGUCAGACUAAGCUCUCCUCUUUGGGAAUGGAUUAAAGGCCUGGGGCCUGAUGGGCCUGGCUGAGUGAAAGGCUACACUACUGGCAGAGAUUUUGUCCCAUACAGACAGGGUGAUGUGGGUGAUUCUGCCCCUAGCUGGGGGAUUGCCUGCCCAGCCCAUGCAGGAGAUGAGCCUGACUGCUGGCAGGCAGCAGAAGCCACAGGCACAUUUCCCCCACCCUGGCCCUGUAAUUGCCUGUCAGGGAAAUACUUCCGGGUGUGGCCCAGGCCCAUCGGGAAGGCUCCAGUCUAUGUGACCUUCAAGCUGAUGGAGGAGCCUAGCAGGGCCAAUAUUGGCUCUAUCCUAUAGACUUAGUGUUGCCCUGAAUUAGCUACGCCCCUUCUGUCUGCCCUUUAAGAGGUGUGCCUGAUCAUUAAUAAAAUGGGUAUGUUCACUGAAA